This 65-nucleotide transfer RNA is filed under the name Dipodomys ordii (Ord's kangaroo rat). It matches the Rfam family "tRNA". From Rfam's summary of the family: Transfer RNA (tRNA) molecules are approximately 80 nucleotides in length. Lineage: Eukaryota; Metazoa; Chordata; Mammalia; Rodentia; Heteromyidae. The record is from Rfam by way of RNAcentral.
GGUGGCUCAGUGGUAGAACGCUUGCCUUGCAUGCAUGAGGCCCGGGGUUCGAUUCCUCAGCACCA